UGGAGAGUUUGAUCCUGGCUCAGAUUGAACGCUGGCGGCAGGCCUAACACAUGCAAGUCGAGCGGUAACAGGAAGAAAGCUUGCUUUAUCAGGCGUCGAGCGGCGGACGGGUGAGUAAUGCCUAGAUAUCUGCCUAGUCGUGGGGGAUAACAGUUGGAAACGACUGCUAAUACCGCAUACGCCCUACGGGGGAAAGGAGGGGACCUUCGGGCCUUUCGCGAUUAGAUGAGCCCAAGUGGGAUUAGCUAGUUGGUAAGGUAAUGGCUUACCAAGGCGACGAUCCCUAGCUGGUCUGAGAGGAUGAUCAGCCACACUGGAACUGAGACACGGUCCAGACUCCUACGGGAGGCAGCAGUGGGGAAUAUUGCACAAUGGGCGAAAGCCUGAUGCAGCCAUGCCGCGUGUGUGAAGAAGGCCUUCGGGUUGUAAAGCACUUUCAGCGAGGAGGAAAGGGUAAGGGUUAAUAAGCCUUAUCUGUGACGUUACUCGCAGAAGAAGCACCGGCUAACUUCGUGCCAGCAGCCGCGGUAAUACGAGGGGUGCAAGCGUUAAUCGGAAUUACUGGGCGUAAAGCGUUCGUAGGCGGUUUGUUAAGCAAGAUGUGAAAGCCCAGGGCUCAACCUUGGAACUGCAUUUUGAACUGGCAGGCUAGAGUACUGUAGAGGGUGGUGGAAUUUCCAGUGUAGCGGUGAAAUGCGUAGAGAUUGGAAGGAACAUCAGUGGCGAAGGCGGCUUUCUGGACCACAACUGACGCUGAGGUGCGAAAGCGUGGGUAGCAAACAGGAUUAGAUACCCUGGUAGUCCACGCCGUAAACGAUGUCUACUAGCCGUUGGGUUCCUUGAGGACUUAGUGGCGCAGCUAACGCAUUAAGUAGACCGCCUGGGGAGUACGGCCGCAAGGUUAAAACUCAAAUGAAUUGACGGGGGCCCGCACAAGCGGUGGAGCAUGUGGUUUAAUUCGAUGCAACGCGAAGAACCUUACCUACUCUUGACAUCCAGAAGAUUUAGCAGAGAUGCUUUAGUGCCUUCGGGAAUUCUGAGACAGGUGCUGCAUGGCUGUCGUCAGCUCGUGUCGUGAGAUGUUGGGUUAAGUCCCGCAACGAGCGCAACCCUUAUCCUUAUUUGCCAGCACGUAAUGGUGGGAACUUUAGGGAGACUGCCGGUGAUAAACCGGAGGAAGGGGGGGACGACGUCAAGUCAUCAUGGCCCUUACGAGUAGGGCUACACACGUGCUACAAUGGCCGGUACAGAGGGUUGCCAAGCCGCGAGGUGGAGCUAAUCCCACAAAGCCGGUCGUAGUCCGGAUUGGAGUCUGCAACUCGACUCCAUGAAGUCGGAAUCGCUAGUAAUCGUGGAUCAGAAUGCCACGGUGAAUACGUUCCCGGGCCUUGUACACACCGCCCGUCACACCAUGGGAGUGGGUUGCUCCAGAAGUGGUUAGCCUAACCUUAGGGAGGGCGAUCACCACGGAGUGAUUCAUGACUGGGGUGAAGUCGUAACAAGGUAGCCCUAGGGGAACCUGGGGCUGGAUCACCUCCUU
Molecule: ribosomal RNA, 1540 nt
Filed under: uncultured prokaryote
Description: partial 16S ribosomal RNA
Rfam family: Bacterial small subunit ribosomal RNA
Source: RNAcentral